UUGCCCUUUACUGCUCAGUAACACGUAGUCAACAUGCCCAGAGGACGUGGAUAACCUCGGGAAACUGAGGAUAAACCGCGAUAGGCCAUAAUUACUGGAAUGUGUUAUGGCCCAAAUCUAUAUGGCCUCUGGAUUGGACUGCGGCCGAUCAGGCUGUUGGUGAGGUAAUGGCCCACCAAACCUUCUACCGGUACGGGCUCUGAGAGGAGGAGCCCGGAGAUGGGCACUGAGACAAGGGCCCAGGCCCUAUGGGGCGCAGCAGGCGCGAAACCUCUGCAAUAGGCGAAAGCCUGACAGGGUUACUCUGAGUGAUUCCCGCUAAGGGAAUCUUUUGGCAUCUCUAAAAAUGGUGCAGAAUAAGGGGUGGGCAAGUCUGGUGUCAGCCGCCGCGGUAAUACCAGCACCCCGAGUGGUCGGGACGAUUAUUGGGCCUAAAGCAUCCGUAGCCGGUCUUGCAAGUCUUCCGUUAAAUCCACCCGCUUAACGGAUGGGCUGCGGGGGAUACUGCAGAGCUAGGAGGCGGGAGAGGCAAACGGUACUCAGUGGGUAGGGGUAAAAUCCAUUGAUCUACUGAAGACCACCAGUGGCGAAGGCGGUUUGCCAGAACGCGCUCGACGGUGAGGGAUGAAAGCUGGGGGAGCAAACCGGAUUAGAUACCCGGGUAGUCCCAGCUGUAAACGAUGCAGACUCGGUGAUGGGUUGGCCUCGAGCCAACCCAGUGCCGCAGGGAAGCCGUUAAGUCUGCCGCCUGGGGAGUACGGUCGCAAGACUGAAACUUAAAGGAAUUGGCGGGGGAGCAC
Molecule: ribosomal RNA, 800 nt
Filed under: uncultured bacterium
Lineage: Bacteria
Description: bacterial SSU rRNA
Rfam family: Archaeal small subunit ribosomal RNA
Source: RNAcentral